UUGGUGUGUGUGUGUUGGUGUGUGGGUGUGUGUGUGUUGGUGUGUGUGUGUUCCAGCAGCAGCUCCCUCAGCUCCUCUGAUAAACAGACUCUGGAUCGACUCCAGCCUUCUGGAAAUCUCGUCUCUUUGUUCUGCUGAUUUGGACCAAACCGGUCUCCGUCCCUCGGCUCCUCCAGGACCUUCCAGGAUUCUCCAGAACCUGUUUGAUGUGGACCUGGAGCCCGUCCUAAGCACUGCAGUGAUCGUGGAUCAGAAAACACAGAGUCUCACACACACAUGCACACACACACACACACACACACACACACAGUUACUGUAGGAUGAAGGAUUUUCCAUCUUUUUCUCAGCAGCAUAAAACUCUAAAGGAGAACACUGAGGAACAGAACCGGAUCAGAACCACAUGUCUAGAUGACAUCAGGCAGUUCUGGCGCUGAUGACCUGGUCAGGGUGGAGAGGUUCUGGUUCUGGUUGGUCCAGUGGCAGCGACCUUGCUGGUGUCAGUCAGUGAUGAAUUUAAUGAUUCAGAGCAGGAAGUCGGUGAUGAAACAGGAAGUGUCCAGUUGUUGCUUGUUGCCUCCAAACUCCAACAACCAGGUGACGCCGUGGGGCUCUUCCAGGUAGAAAGUGAUUAGAGCUUCGUCCACCUUGACGAGGCGGCGGCAUCAUGUGACCAAUAAGGAGGAAGACACCAGGAAGAGAUGAGGAAGAGGAUCCCAGAAUGUUGAACUGGAGACCAGUUCCAGCUGCUGGGUGGACAAUCCAUACAGAACCAGCAGGACCUGAGGUGUUUCCAUGGUGGCUUUUUUCCUGGUGCCUCCUUUCCACUCAUAAAGUUCCCAGGAUGCUGGAAGUCAGAUCGGAUCUCCUCCGAAUCCCAGAGGAAGCCAAAGGGUUUCACGAUUCUGUUCUGGUCUGGAUAAGUUCCUUUGGGUCCAGAUUAGAGAACUUUUGCUGAGAAGGUGUUUAACUAACCGGAGAUGGGACACCCUGUGAAGACGCUGCUGCCUCCCGGCCUGCAGGGGGCGCUGCAGGCAUUCUGUGUUGAGCCGAGAGGAAGCGGACAAAGACGCUCAUGAUUUUACUGCUUAAAGUUUAGAUUACUUUUAGAUCUUCUGAUAAUUUAGCAACUUUUCAUGUAUUGUGGCGUAUAAAACUUUUUCUGAGUGUUUUAUUUGAGUUUACUCUUGUAAACCGACCUUUUGACUGAUUGAGGUUUUAAAUGUCAAUAAAUCGUCUCUGAGUUAAUAAACAAAAGACAGAUUGAGUCAGAGGUUCCUUAAAGCCUGUGGUUCUGAUCUGCUGGUUCU
Long non-coding RNA from Gambusia affinis (western mosquitofish), 1307 nucleotides. RefSeq lists it as uncharacterized. The transcript is spliced from 3 exons. NCBI's taxonomy places the organism in Eukaryota, Metazoa, Chordata, Actinopteri, Cyprinodontiformes, Poeciliidae. The record is from RefSeq and is a predicted model, not a curated record.